This 3943-nucleotide long non-coding RNA is filed under the name Citrus x clementina. RNAcentral describes it as "Citrus clementina (C. clementina) long non-coding RNA (CCLE_LNC002143)". Lineage: Eukaryota; Viridiplantae; Streptophyta; Magnoliopsida; Sapindales; Rutaceae. The record is from RNAcentral.
AAAUCAAAAUCCCCAUUUGAUCAAUUCAUCUAUCAAAAUAAAUAAAUUAAAAAGAUUACAUCACUCAUAACGUAGCCCUUCAACUUCAUAUAGUAUUUAAGUACUUUUGAUUUUAUCCUCAGCCUUGCAUAUUAUCACAGGAUGAAUAUUUUACGUAGCACACCCAUGCAACAAUUAGGCAGCUCUUACUCGAGUGUUAAUAAAUAAACCUUGAACUUUUCAACUAGCUAAGCUGAUAUGCUUACAGAACAGUUAGAGAGAAAAGUGAGCAAAUGAGCCAAAGAGAUUGUGUAUUAUUCACAAGAGAGUGUGUACAAGAGAGAUUUGAGAGAUUGUUUUGAAUUAUUCAUAAGUUUGAUUGCUUGUUGCUCUUAAAUGAAAUCGCAAGUGCUAAGCGCUAUUUAUAAGGAGACUUGCUUAGUUCUAAAACUUUAUAACUCUAGAGAGUUCUCACGGUUUUAAAAGAACUCUCAUUUCUACAAUAUCCUAGAGUAGUCUAGAGUAUUAUAUGUACAAGUUACAUGCUACAACACUCAAACAUUAUUUAGAGAUUUUCUAUAUGUGUACAAAUAAAAAAUAUGGUAGACAUGAAACUUUCUAAAUCAAACCAAGUUAACAUCCCUUGAUUUGAGUAUUUAGUCUCUUUGACUUGAAAUUAGGACAGCCCAUGACAAUAUAAUGGAGAAUGUUUAUCUAACAAUCACGAUAUUAUUGCCAGCCAAUUUUUUUUUUUUUUUUAUAUUAAUCACGAGGUAUCCUGGGGAGGGCCCAACUGUGGGAGGCACCUUUAAGCCCGUACCACAACCCAGACUAGAAGUCCCCGCUCGAACCGGGAGGCACAAGUUCUCCCAACCAUAGAUAUGUUACUCACAUUUUAUUUAACUAAAAGCACUAAUCAAGUCAUUUUUAUAAGAAAUUAGGAAAGGUUAGGAUUUUUGGUUGUUAAAAAAAAAAAAAAAAACCAACCAAAAUCUACCACCUAUUUCAUAUAAAACUCUAGUUGGUUACAACUCCCACCUUAUGUGUUUCCAAAUCUUCAACUAGUUAAUGUCAUGACGUAUUCAAAGAAUAAAAUUAUUAUAAUUUUAUUUGAAAUUGCCCCCUCACAAAGAGAUGUAGAAUUAUCAAAAUAUCAUUAAAAAUCUUAUCCUAUGCAGCGAUUGUAUCAAGUGUUUCCGUUGACUUAGACGCUGUAACGCAAAUUUAAAAUCUGAGGGAUGCUUGGUACUUAUUCAAAAGAAAAAAACUAUAUUGGGUUUUAUAAUUCAAAAAAAGGGCUCAUUUAAAAACACUAUAUAAAAAUCAAUUUAUCAUACGAUUCAGACCUAGUUUUGAACUGUUAUUUUAUCAUUUUCAAAGAAUAAUAGUGAAAUAUACUAUUUAAUGCCAUAAUAUCUUGAAAAAAAAAAUCACUUAAUUUCUCGAGUUUCAUUACAAAAUAAUUUUUAAUGUAAUGAUCUUAUGCUUAACCAACCUAAUCAAGUAGUUAUUGUCACGCACAUGAAUAAAAGUUCAGAAAUUUAUUGAAAAUAUAUUUUCCUUUUCUCCUCUGUAGUUAGUUAAAAUAUCUAAAAAGCAAUUCACGAAGCAUUUUUCCUUAUUUGCGUCUGAAAAGUUAUCACACUUUGAUUAGCAAUAGCAAGAUAUUUUACACUUAGUACCCAGAUGUUAAUCCACUUGGCCGAUCUUGUAGAGCACAAUAAGCUGAUAAUUAGUCUCUAAUUAUCUUAUAAUUUAAUACAUAUCAAGAUGUGAAUAACUGAUCUUUUUUUAGUGUAAAAUAAAGGGUUUGGUAACCACAACUUGAGAUUAACCAUGUAUAAUUAAGCAGAAGCUGCCAAAAAUAUUUCAAAUGCUGCCGUAAUUCCGCCGCUUUUUGUAAUGUCUUUGCAUGAUCACAUCAUAUUUAUCUAAAACAUUUUUUUUUUGGGUUAAAACAAAAAUUGAAAUGUUUAUUGGUCCAUUAAUAUGUUGCCACGUCACCAUCAAUAGUUCAUAAGAAUUUUAGACCAACAGGAUCAUGACACCUCAUCAGUCAAUGCCACAUCAUCGGUUAAUGCUACGUCAUCAAUCCGUCUAUGUGAACAGUAACAUAGACAGUACCGUACAUGUGAACAGUGUCAUUUUUCCUUUUAUGCUCCUCCUACGGUUUUCGACCGUCCUGAGUUCAAAAGUGAUGUCCGUUUUGCUGUCUGAUCUCUCGUUUAUUGUGAAAUGACUAUGAUGCCCCUAAAAUAUACAAAAUACUUAAUUAAAAUAAAACACACAUAAUUAAAUUACAAGCACCUUAAAUACAUAAAAGUAAGGGUUGUUAGUAAGACUUGAAAUGUAAAAUGACGAUUUUUUCUUUUAUAAAUAUACAUUUUCUAACGCUCAACAUUUAUGGCCUCAUCAUGAAUUUGAUUGGUGUCAGAACAUUAUUUAUUUGUAAUAACUUUUUACUUUAUGUGUUGCUUCUUAUCGACAAAUAAUAAGGUCUUUCUACUUUUUAAAUUGUGACAAUCUAUAUAUACAUAUAUCUACAAUUUAACAAAAAUUUUAUGUUUAAAUACAUAUAUAUUUUAUAGCGCAAAUCAAAAUUUUAUUGGGCGUUCUUAAUUUCCCAAAAAGCACUCUUUCUAUAACAGAAUUUUAUGGUAUUGUGUGAUCAUACCCACAUCAAUCGAAAGUGACAAUAUAAAAUAUAACUUAAAAGGUAAGACCGAUGGUUUAAUUAUUUAGUAAGAGACACAAUUCAGAUUUAAUGUUUGAUACGAUCACAUAAUAUUAUUUAAUUAUUCCACACGUUUAACACCAUUCAUCAAUUUAUUCAUGUAAUUUUGAAUAUCAUCCUUAUUGAUGUGGUACUGUUACCAAUUGGGUUAAAUCAUGAGUAAAUUUGUUGCGCUUUAACGGCAUUAAAUUAAGUUUAACAAAGUAAUAAUUGUUUCUAGAUAAUCACACCCAAUGCAUCAUUAUUUUGAAGCAAGUGCCAAUUAAUUAAUUCAAACAAUUAAGCUUGACCAUAAUCUAAUUGAUAGUAACUUUGUAAUGAUAAUUGGGUAGCCUAACUCUAUUAAACUGGUUGCACGCCUUUCGCGCGCUUUUCAACAAAUAAAAUCCCACCACGUGUAUUGCUCCUGUCAUGGCAUCAUGUCGGAACAGAGGAAGCAGGGCCCACAAGCGCCAUCGCAGCGCUUGGGUUUACAUUUGUCAACACAUCAAAAAGCGAAGUUCGGUACUACUUUUGAUCCCAUCCAGUUGGAACCCUCCACGUGGAGGAGUUUGGCUGCCUCACCGUCGGCAAAGGCGGCACUGUCUAUUUCAUUUUUCUAGGAUCUUACGUGGCGGAUAUCAACGUUGACUGCGUGAUCUAAUCUCAGCCGUCGGAUCAAGAAGGUUGCCUAGACGGUUGAAAUUCCUCAAAAUAGUCGAUCAUCGCCACGCGUCUUUGGUGAAUAUUGAAUUAUUUUCCUGAAAAGGAAAUAAGUCAUUUUGGCAUUUAAGUAAUUAAGAAACAUUCAAUUAUUAACAAACUACAUCAACAAGACAACAACAACUACAACUGACCCAAUUACAAUCUUCUCCCUCACCUUCACAUAAAAUCAUUUCUGUAUCUAUUUAAUUAAACUAAAAGUCUCAAUUUAAUUUAUAUUUAAAAACGUACAAACGUCCACAAUGAAAGUUGUAUACUAAUAUAAUUUAAAUUAUUUUUAUAAUCAUGUUACUAUUAUUAUUGUUUGUACUAAAAUAAAGUUUACAAAAGCAGGAAAAAUUAGUUAUUGUUCGAGGAUAAUGAUAAUUACAUGGGUGAGAUGUUCACUAAUAAUAGUUAGGUAAUGAGUAAUAGUCACUUAUUAAAUUAAAAAAGAAAAAAAAAUUCUUUCUGGAAAUAUGUAAUCUAAAGAAAAAUCGAAUUAUGAGCACGGAGGAUGUAAUUACACUUCAAAGAAAAGUAUAUUUA